AAAUACGAUAAGUAAUGUGAAUUGCAGAAUUCAGUGAAUCAUCGAAUCUUUGAACGCACCUUGCGCUCCUUGGUAUUCCUUGGAGCAUGCCUGUUUGAGUAUCAUGAAAUCUUCAAAGUAAAUCUUUUGUUAACUCAAUUGGUUUCUACUUUGGUAUUGGAGGUCUUUGCAGCUUCACACCUGCUCCUCUUUGUUCAUUAGCUGGAUCUCAGUGUUAUGCUUGGUUCCACUCGGCGUGAUAAGUUAUCUAUCGCUGAGGACACUGUAAAAGGUGGCCAAGGUAAAUGCAGAUGAACCGCUUCUAAUAGUCCAUUGACUUGGACAAUACUUUUAUGAUCUGAUCUCAAAUCAGGUAGGACUACCCGCUGAACUUAAGC
RNAcentral lists this unclassified non-coding RNA (377 nucleotides) under plant metagenome. RNAcentral's name for it is "partial contains 5.8S ribosomal RNA, internal transcribed spacer 2, and large subunit ribosomal RNA". The stretch from base 1 to 104 matches the Rfam family "5.8S ribosomal RNA", at positions 51 to 154 of the family's 154-position model. The record is from RNAcentral.